GGUUUAAUUCGAAGCAACGCGAAGAACCUUACCAGGUCUUGACAUCCCGAUGACCGGCCCGUAACGGGGCCUUCUCUUCGGAGCAUUGGAGACAGGUGGUGCAUGGUUGUCGUCAGCUCGUGUCGUGAGAUGUUGGGUUAAGUCCCGCAACGAGCGCAACCCUUAUCCUCAGUAGCCAGCAGGUAAAGCUGGGCACUCUGUGGAGACUGCCAGGGAUAACCUGGA
Molecule: ribosomal RNA, 225 nt
Filed under: uncultured bacterium
Lineage: Bacteria
Description: partial 16S ribosomal RNA
Rfam family: Bacterial small subunit ribosomal RNA
Source: RNAcentral